CUGCUCCAUGAAAAUUUUAAAUAGCUGCAGUAUUUAUAACUGUACUAAGGUAGCAUAAUAAUUAGUUUUUUAAUUGAAAUCUAGAAUGAAAGAUUAAAUGAAAAAUAAACUGUUUCUUAUUUAAAAAAUUAAAUUAAAAUUUAAGUAAAAAUUCUUAAAUUAAAUAAAAAGACAAGAAGACCCUAUAGAAUUUUAUAAUUUAUUUUAAAAUUUUUAUUUAAUAAUAAAAAAAUUUAUAAAAUAUUUUAUUUAAUUGGGGAAAUUUUAAAAUUUAAAAAAUUUUUAAAUUUAAUAUACAUUAUUAAUGAAAUUAAAUAAUUUAAUUUAAAUAUAAUAAAAUAAAUUACCUUAGGGAUAACAGUAUAAUUUUAUUUUUUAGUUCUUAUAAAAAAUAAAUUUUAUAACCUCGAUGUUGAAUUAAAAAAAAAUAAAAAGAAAAAAAUUUAUAUUUUAAGUCUGUUCGACU
This 466-nucleotide ribosomal RNA is filed under the name Agathiella sp. RNAcentral's name for it is "partial 16S ribosomal RNA". Lineage: Eukaryota; Metazoa; Arthropoda; Insecta; Hymenoptera; Braconidae. The record is from RNAcentral.